CAUGGCGUUAGGUUCAUUACUGACAA
Molecule: ribosomal RNA, 26 nt
Filed under: Terfezia claveryi
Lineage: Eukaryota; Fungi; Ascomycota; Pezizomycetes; Pezizales; Pezizaceae
Description: partial 18S ribosomal RNA
Source: RNAcentral